UACAGAGGGUGCGAGCGUUAAUCGGAAUUACUGGGCGUAAAGCGUGCGUAGACGGUUAUUUAAGUCGGGUGUGAAAGCCCCGGGCUCAACCUGGGAAUUGCAUUCGAGACUGAAUAGCUAGGGUACGGUAGAGGGAAGUGGAAUUUCCGGUGUAGCGGUGAAAUGCGUAGAUAUCGGAAGGAACGCCCGUGGCGAAAGCGAGGUCCUGGACGUCUACUGACGCUGAGACGCGAAAGCUAGGGUAGCGAACGGG
RNAcentral lists this ribosomal RNA (253 nucleotides) under uncultured bacterium. RNAcentral describes it as "partial 16S ribosomal RNA". It matches the Rfam family "Bacterial small subunit ribosomal RNA", at positions 524 to 776 of the family's 1533-position model. The record is from RNAcentral.